GAGGUUUUAGCUAAUUAAAGUGCUUGAGUUGCAUUCAAGAGAUGUAAAUUAGAGUUUUACACGCCUU
This 67-nucleotide transfer RNA is filed under the name Trachylepis affinis (Senegal mabuya). RNAcentral describes it as "tRNA-Ala". It matches the Rfam family "tRNA". Rfam says of the family: Transfer RNA (tRNA) molecules are approximately 80 nucleotides in length. Lineage: Eukaryota; Metazoa; Chordata; Lepidosauria; Squamata; Scincidae. The record is from RNAcentral.